RNAcentral lists this ribosomal RNA (353 nucleotides) under uncultured bacterium. RNAcentral describes it as "bacterial SSU rRNA". It matches the Rfam family "Bacterial small subunit ribosomal RNA", at positions 29 to 412 of the family's 1533-position model. The record is from RNAcentral.
AACGAACGCUGGCGGCAGGCCUAACACAUGCAAGUCGAACGCUCCGCAAGGGGAGUGGCGCACGGGUGAGUAACACGUGGGAACCUACCUUCUGGUACGGAACAACCAAGGGAAACUUUGGCUAAGACCGUAUACGACCUCCGGGUGAAAGAUUGAUCGCCGGAAGAGGGGCCCGCGUCCGAUUAGGUAGUUGGUGAGGUAACGGCUCACCAAGCCUUCGAUCGGUAGCUGGUCUGAGAGGAUGACCAGCCACACUGGGACUGAGACACGGCCCAGACUCCUACGGGAGGCAGCAGUGGGGAAUAUUGGACAAUGGGCGCAGCCUGAUCCAGCCAUGCCGCGUGAGUGAUGAA